CUUCUUUGUUGGUUCAAAUUGAUGUUGAUAAUUGUUGGAUUUGUGAUGCAUGAUGCUUGCUGAAUCCAUUGAUAUGUUGUUUUGCCAUUUCUGGAAAAUAAUCUUGCACGAUGAUGAUGAACAAGAUGAUGAAUACUGUAGCUUUCAUAAACCCUAAGCCGUUCCCAGAUUUUCUAUUUCUGCAUCGUGUUUUGGCUGUUGUUGCAUGCUACUGUUUUAUUACCAUGACCUGUC
Molecule: long non-coding RNA, 234 nt
Filed under: Lathyrus oleraceus (garden pea)
Lineage: Eukaryota; Viridiplantae; Streptophyta; Magnoliopsida; Fabales; Fabaceae
Description: Pisum sativum (pea) long non-coding RNA (PSAT_LNC030262)
Source: RNAcentral